Long non-coding RNA from Sinocyclocheilus grahami, 811 nucleotides. RefSeq lists it as uncharacterized. The record is from RefSeq and is a predicted model, not a curated record. The transcript is spliced from 6 exons. Lineage: Eukaryota; Metazoa; Chordata; Actinopteri; Cypriniformes; Cyprinidae.
UUUUUGUGAACUUCAAUCAGUUUUCAUUUAUUUGCCAACUGCUAAGGUUGUCAGACGGUAGAGGAGGACACAGCCACUUGCAGAAGAACAACUGAUUAAAUCUACAUCAAAGAAAAGGAAGGGUGAAUAACAGAUUCAAGACAACACCAAGAAAAAGAAGAGGAAGAAAACGGAAAGAAUGUUUCAUCACUCAGGAGAGAUCAGAGGGAACGGGCGAUAAGGAGUCCAACAAAAACAAGAAGAGAAGAAAGAAGAAGAAAACUAUCACAGAUGUGCUGACGAGCUCUGAGCCUGUGCCAGGCUCUCCAGCUGACCUUCUGAGCCUUUUGAAGAGUCACCACAGCCAGACCCGCUCUGUUAUUGAGCAGGGGAACUGACGCUAAGCGGCAGCUGAUGGUGUUCAAAGACAAGCUAAAGUGCUGAAGCUGUUCGCAAAACACAUCAAGGUGGAUGAACAGAUAAAGUCACUGAGUAAAGGUGUGACCCAAAUUGCUGUUGGAACUCCUGGGAGAAUGUGUGCCAUUAGAGAAAGAGGGUUUGACUGCACAAGCACUGAGAUAUCUGGUUCUGGACUGGAACUACAGAGACCAGAAGCACAGGAGAAUGGUGGAUAUACCAGAGGUGAAAGGAGACUUGCUGAAAAUGAUGGACCAUGGUCUAAUCCAGAGCUGCAGGGAAGGAACAGUUAAAAUAGGACUCUUUUAAGCAGACAUUGUGUUCUCUGUUAUUUACACAUUCAUGUUCAUUUACUUGUUCAGCAUGUAAUAGAGCUAUUGUAAUGUAUAUUAGUGCCAUAUGUCUGCUGCAAGAA